Molecule: long non-coding RNA, 181 nt
Organism: Papilio polytes (common Mormon)
Lineage: Eukaryota; Metazoa; Arthropoda; Insecta; Lepidoptera; Papilionidae
Exons: 3
Source: RefSeq, a predicted model, not a curated record
AUUUUUGCGUUAUAAUUCUAGGACUAUACUCCUAUUCGGUUCAUGCGUUCUUUCUUUUUGCAGAGAAGAACCAGCCAAUAUGGUUGUGUUUGAAAAUUUGUCCACUUUAUUGCCCUCAACGGAGACACGAUGAAGAUGCAUCAUUAAUAUAUUGGGACGAUUUUGAACCUAUUCACGAAGA